RNAcentral lists this ribosomal RNA (866 nucleotides) under Taylorella asinigenitalis. RNAcentral's name for it is "bacterial LSU rRNA". It matches the Rfam family "Bacterial large subunit ribosomal RNA", at positions 1160 to 1840 of the family's 2925-position model. Lineage: Bacteria; Pseudomonadati; Pseudomonadota; Betaproteobacteria; Burkholderiales; Alcaligenaceae. The record is from RNAcentral.
UGCGCGGAAGAUGUAACGGGGCUAAGCCAGUUACCGAAGCUGCGGAUGCAUCCGCUCUUUUAAUGUGUUUAAUCGAGAUACUUCAUUGUGAGAGUUUUGAAUGCAAAUUCAAAACUCUCACUAACGUACUCCAAAAGGCUUGGGCAGAGAGGGUCCAAAGUACUUAAGGAGGUUUGAAUCUUAAACUGUAAUUUUAAGAUUUAUGGAUAAUCGAACGAAGAGGAUUAGGACAUAUUAAGAGAGCGGAUGCGUGGUAGGAGAGCGUUCUGUAAGCCAGAGAAGGUGAAUCGAGAGGUUUGCUGGAGGUAUCAGAAGUGCGAAUGCUGACAUGAGUAGCGAUAAAGGGAGUGAAAAGCUCCCUCGCCGUAAGUCCAAGGAUUCCUGCGCAACGUUCAUCGGCGCAGGGUUAGUCGGCCCCUAAGGUGAGGCAGAGAUGCGUACUGAUGGGAAGUGGGUUAAUAUUCCUACACCGGCUUGUGAUGUGAAGGGGGGACGGAUUGCGGAAUGUGUACGGGCUGUUGGAAAUGCUCGGUAUUGUAGCCAAGAAGUUGAUUAGGCAAAUCCGGUCAAAGGAUUCAAGGCUAUGAUUCGCAGAAGACUUAAGGUCUUUGAAGUCACAGGAAGUGGUUCCAGGAAAAGCCUCUAAGCGUUAAAUUACAAGUUGACCGUACCGCAAACCGACACAGGUGGACGGGAUGAAUAUUCCAAGGCGCUUGAGAGAACUCAGGAGAAGGAACUCGGCAAAUUGAUACCGUAACUUCGGGAGAAGGUAUGCCUUUGUAUGGUGAGUAGCCAGAAGAGGCCGCAGAGAAUAGGUGGCUGCGACUGUUUAUUAAAAACAUAGCACUCUGCAAACACGAAAGUGG